This 572-nucleotide ribosomal RNA is filed under the name Trigonopterus ascendens. Its description in RNAcentral is "partial large subunit ribosomal RNA". It matches the Rfam family "Bacterial large subunit ribosomal RNA", at positions 1805 to 2644 of the family's 2925-position model. Lineage: Eukaryota; Metazoa; Arthropoda; Insecta; Coleoptera; Curculionidae. The record is from RNAcentral.
UAUUAAAAACAUGGCUUGUUGAGUAUAAUUUCAGGUCUGACCUGCCCAAUGAGUAAUUAAAUGGCUGCGGUAUACUGACCGUGCAAAGGUAGCAUAAUCAUUAGUUUUUUAAUUGAAAGCUUGUAUGAAAGGUUUGAUGAAAAAGUGACUGUCUCUGGAAAGAUUAAUUAGAACUUUAUUUUUAAGUUAAAAAGCUUAAAUGUGUAUAGAAGACGAGAAGACCCUAUAGAGUUUCAUAUUUUUUGUAAAGAUUUUAGGUUUUUGGAAGUAAAAAAUUUAGUAUUUUUGAGAUAGUAUUUUGUUGGGGUGAUAGGAAAAUUAAGUAAACUUUUCUUGGUUUAGUACAUUAAUGUGUGAAUAUAUGAUCCUAGGAUUUAGAUUAUAAGAUAAAAUUACCUUAGGGAUAACAGCGUGAUUUUUUAGAGAGUUCUUAUCGAAAAAAAAGUUUGCGACCUCGAUGUUGGAUUAAAAUAAGUUAUUGGUGAAGAAGCUGAUGAAUUAGGUCUGUUCGACCUUUAAAAUUUUACAUGAUCUGAGUUUAAACCGGUGUGAGCCAGGUCGGUUUCUAUCUA